Aethina tumida (small hive beetle) is the source of this 406-nucleotide long non-coding RNA. RefSeq lists it as uncharacterized. NCBI's taxonomy places the organism in Eukaryota, Metazoa, Arthropoda, Insecta, Coleoptera, Nitidulidae. The record is from RefSeq and is a predicted model, not a curated record. The transcript has 3 exons.
AACGCAACCUGAUUAAGCUUGUGCGAGGGCAGCUAAAUGUCUGUCCUGCGUCAAGAUAUGUAUCGUCAUGUUCUGGAACAGCUCGGCUUUCGGCCAACUGUUUUGUCAAAAUUUCUGCAAAGUAGUACCUACACGUCUCAAGCGACAGAAAUCAAAAAUGGAUUUAACGUAUGUCCUGGAUUUUGCGUUCAUUAAAAAACAACUUAUCAUCUACCAACAACAAAACUUAAUUGCAUAACUUGGACUGCCAGAGGUAUGUGAACCAUGCAUCAGGGACUUUGUCAACUUGAGACUUCAAUGGAGCUUUUUUAGUAACAGAUCAGUAUAGCCAGAAAUGUUCAUUCGAUACAAUUGUACUUAAUUUAAGCUCGUAUAGUAACAUAAAAAACCAAAAAGAUAAAUUAAA